GGAUGUGAGAGGGCAAUCUGGCUGCGACAUCUGUCACCCCAUUGAUCGCCAGGGUUGAUUCGGCUGAUCUGGCUGGCUAGGCGGGUGUCCCCUUCCACCCUCACCACUCUAUGUGCGUCCCUCCCCAAGCUGCGGGCUCGGUCGAAGAGGACGGCCUUCCCCGAAUAGAGAAGGACAGGUCAGUCGAGGGUAUACGAGUA
This 200-nucleotide small nuclear RNA is filed under the name Erinaceus europaeus (western European hedgehog). RNAcentral's name for it is "7SK RNA". It matches the Rfam family "7SK RNA", at positions 1 to 200 of the family's 331-position model. Rfam says of the family: 7SK was discovered as an abundant small nuclear RNA in the mid-70s but a possible function has only recently been suggested. Two independent studies have found that 7SK RNA binds the CDK9/cyclin T complex (known as elongation factor P-TEFb). Lineage: Eukaryota; Metazoa; Chordata; Mammalia; Eulipotyphla; Erinaceidae. The record is from Rfam by way of RNAcentral.